AUACGUAGGGUGCGAGCGUUGUCCGGAAUUACUGGGCGUAAAGAGCUCGUAGGUGGUUUGUCGCGUCGUCUGUGAAAUUCCGGGGCUUAACUCCGGGCGUGCAGGCGAUACGGGCAUAACUUGAGUACUGUAGGGGAGACUGGAAUUCCUGGUGUAGCGGUGAAAUGCGCAGAUAUCAGGAGGAACACCGGUGGCGAAGGCGGAUCCCUGGGCAGUACCGGACGCUGAGGAGCGAAAGCAUGGGUAGCGAACAGGAUUAGAUACCCUGGUAGUCCAUGCCGUAAACGGUGGGCGCUAGGUGUAGGGGUCUUCCACGACUUCUGUGCCGUAGCUAACGCAUUAAGCGCCCCGCCUGGGGAGUACGGCCGCAAGGCUAAAACUCAAAUGAAUUGACGGGG
RNAcentral lists this ribosomal RNA (398 nucleotides) under uncultured bacterium. RNAcentral's name for it is "partial 16S ribosomal RNA". It matches the Rfam family "Bacterial small subunit ribosomal RNA", at positions 523 to 918 of the family's 1533-position model. The record is from RNAcentral.